Brachypodium distachyon (stiff brome) is the source of this 545-nucleotide long non-coding RNA. RefSeq lists it as uncharacterized. The transcript is spliced from 3 exons. NCBI's taxonomy places the organism in Eukaryota, Viridiplantae, Streptophyta, Magnoliopsida, Poales, Poaceae. The record is from RefSeq and is a predicted model, not a curated record.
UUCUGUGUGAGAAUAUGACUCCUGCUCCAAGCCAUCUGUGGGUUUUAUAAGGCGAAGCUAUCUAAAAGGUUGCUUUAUUCCAAGGAACAAAGUGGUGCAACUGAAUCAGCACUUUAUGCUGCAUACUCACCAUCGCCUCAUCGGGAUCAAAAGCAAGGCACACUUUUCGUGACUAAAGGAAUGGGCGUGAGCACAGCGGCUUGGAGCUUUCAGCCCGGCGAACAAGGAGGAGGGAAGGAAAUGUGCUAAUUAGUGGGGAUUGGAGAGCAAAGAGGAAGAUUCAAGGUCCAAGAACGUGGUGCCCAGGUGAUGUGGAGCGAGACUAAUCUGUUGUGUAAAAGUGCCUACUUUCCGCUAAUCUGGACUCGUUUUAAGGACGUCAUAAUUCGGGGUUUGCUUUGCUUCUCCAAAUGUCCAUGCCAAAUGUACGUGGAACUUAUGCAGAACCUCGUCAGAAAGGUGUUGUCAGCUGUGUUUGUGCGGUCGUUAAGUUUUAGUUUUCUAUGUUGAUUAUGAAGAUAUGAAAUCUGCCGAUUUUGGUUUGA